GGCACGUGGGCCUGGUCCGACGGAACUCCUCUCAGCGACUGUGACUUCUCCAACUGGGCCCCGGAGGAGCCCAGCAACAACGACGGCGCUAACUGCGGGAUGGUGUUGUACGUAUACGAUGCUAUAUACGGCGAUGGGAUUGCCUGGGACGACACCUUCUGCGAUGUGCAGCACUGCUUCAUCUGCCAAAUUGGGCCCGGUGAAGAGGAUGCGUGUGCCUCGCACGAAACCACAACAGGGGCUCCUGACGUCACAACUGUGAAUGAGGCUGUGA
Long non-coding RNA from Branchiostoma floridae (Florida lancelet), 274 nucleotides. RefSeq lists it as uncharacterized. The transcript has 3 exons. NCBI's taxonomy places the organism in Eukaryota, Metazoa, Chordata, Leptocardii, Amphioxiformes, Branchiostomatidae. The record is from RefSeq and is a predicted model, not a curated record.